CCUACGGGGGGCUGCAGUAGGGAAUAUUGCUCAAUGGGGGAAACCCUGAAGCAGCAACGCCGCGUGGAGGAUGAAGGUUUUCGGAUUGUAAACUCCUUUUGUUAGAGAAGAUAAUGACGGUAUCUAACGAAUAAGCACCGGCUAACACCGUGCCAGCAGCCGCGGUAAUACGGAGGGUGCAAGCGUUACUCGGAAUCACUGGGCGUAAAGAGCGCGUAGGCGGGUUAGCAAGUCAGAUGUGAAAUCCUAUGGCUUAACCAUAGAACUGCAUUUGAAACUGUUAUUCUAGAGUAUGGGAGAGGUAGGUGGAAUUCUUGGUGUAGGGGUAAAAUGCGUAGAGAUCAAGAGGAAUACUCAUUGCGAAGGCGACCUGCUAGAACAUAACUGACGCUGAUGCGCGAAAGCGUGGGGAGCAAACAGGAUUAGAUACCCUAGUAGUC
This 440-nucleotide ribosomal RNA is filed under the name uncultured bacterium. RNAcentral's name for it is "partial 16S ribosomal RNA". It matches the Rfam family "Bacterial small subunit ribosomal RNA", at positions 338 to 795 of the family's 1533-position model. The record is from RNAcentral.